This 483-nucleotide ribosomal RNA is filed under the name uncultured bacterium. Its description in RNAcentral is "partial 16S ribosomal RNA". It matches the Rfam family "Bacterial small subunit ribosomal RNA", at positions 30 to 507 of the family's 1533-position model. The record is from RNAcentral.
UUGCACGCUGGCGGCAGGCCUAACCCAUGCAAGUCGAGCGGAUGAAGGGAGCUUGCUCCUGGCUUCAGCGGCGGACGGGUGAGUAAUGCCUAGGAAUCUGCCUGGUAGUGGGGGAUAACGUCCGGAAACGGGCGCUAAUACCGCAUACGUCCUGAGGGAGAAAGUGGGGGAUCUUCGGACCUCACGCUAUCAGAUGAGCCUAGGUCGGAUUAGCUAGUUGGUGGGGUAAAGGCCUACCAAGGCGACGAUCCGUAACUGGUCUGAGAGGAUGAUCAGUCACACUGGAACUGAGACACGGUCCAGACUCCUACGGGAGGCAGCAGUGGGGAAUAUUGGACAAUGGGCGAAAGCCUGAUCCAGCCAUGCCGCGUGUGUGAAGAAGGUCUUCGGAUUGUAAAGCACUUUAAGUUGGGAGGAAGGGCAGUAAGUUAAUACCUUGCUGUUUUGACGUUACCAACAGAAUAAGCACCGGCUAACUUCGUG